This 72-nucleotide transfer RNA is filed under the name Camelus bactrianus (Bactrian camel). It matches the Rfam family "tRNA". Rfam says of the family: Transfer RNA (tRNA) molecules are approximately 80 nucleotides in length. Their secondary structure includes four short double-helical elements and three loops (D, anti-codon, and T loops). RNAcentral also lists the same sequence under 2 other names. The record is from Rfam by way of RNAcentral. Lineage: Eukaryota; Metazoa; Chordata; Mammalia; Artiodactyla; Camelidae.
GAGGGUAUAGCUUAGUGGUAGAGUGCGUGCCUAUCAUGCACAAGGUCCUGGGUUCAAUCCCCAGCACCUCCG